This is a long non-coding RNA of Triticum aestivum (bread wheat), 6442 nucleotides long. RefSeq lists it as uncharacterized. The transcript has 3 exons. NCBI's taxonomy places the organism in Eukaryota, Viridiplantae, Streptophyta, Magnoliopsida, Poales, Poaceae. The record is from RefSeq and is a predicted model, not a curated record.
UUUAUGGCCAGCUGAAGGAACUCGAGAGAUGGGAUGUUCCCAAUGCCCUCAGGGAUCGAUCCCUGGAGAUGGUUAGCUGCCAGGGACAAGAUGGACACCUGGGAGAGGUUCCCUAGUGAUGACGGGAUGGUCCCGGUGAGGCUGUUGUUGUAUAGGUGUACAAGACGUAGCGAUUGCAUGUUGCCGAUCUCAGAAGGCCAAGGUACCUGAGGCGGUGGAGGGAGCCGAUGCUGGGAGGGAUCUUACCGUACAAGGGGUUGAGGCUCAAGUUGAGUGUGCGGAGGAACGUGAGGUUGCCGACGGCAGGGGAGAUGGUGCCGGCGAGCCCCUGGGAGUUGAGGUCCAGAGCGACCACCCUCGAUCGGUGCCUCUGGCUGCACGUGACGCCCUCCCAGGCGCAGUAACUGAUGCUCCUGUUCCAGGAGGACAGCACCCUUGAAUGGUCUGAAAUCCUUUCCUUGAAUGCUUCGAGAGCGCUCUCAUCUCCGUCAUGUGCGCGCGUCACCCCCAUGGUGGAGAGCAGGAGAAGCACAAGACAUUUGAUUCCGACGAGGCGCCGUGGCAGCGGUGUACCCCUCCGCCACAUGGUUCUGUGCGUGGUUAUUUUCACUCUCUCUUCCUUGGUAUGGAACAUUGGAGCUACAAGUUCUAGCUUUCUGAUACAGAAUUUGCACGAUGUUGGUGUGCCUUUCGCGAAAUUAAAAUAGUACUGGUACCAAGUUGUCGAUGUUAGUGACCUCGGACUGAAUCUGACCACUUAUGCAGCUGUGUUGAAACUGACGUGCUGUCCCUGAUUAAUUGCUCCUCAGCUGCACCUGGUCCCAGUGAUGUAGUCCAGGAGGUCCCAAUGCAAUGAAUAAAACAAUCAAGACUGUCUCUGUCUGAUGGGAACCAAUUAGCCUGAAUUCUUCUAUGUUUUUUGUCAAAAAAAAAGAGUAUAGAUGAGAACGCGUGGCUGGUGUUUAGGGGCCCAUAGUUGAACAAGUGCUCGUGUUGGAUUUUUUUUGAAGGAAAAGGAAAGUUCGGUGUUUCGUUCCCUUUGAACUAGCCCUGAAGUUGAAGUUGAAGUUGCAGCAUGUAGUUUCCCCAGUGAAGUUGAUAAUUCAACAAAAGAGGCCGGAAGUGCAACAGAAUUGACUUUGGAAGACGAGUCUGCAAAGAGAGUUGGUGUAUGUCUUGUGAUGUACUGGAUACUUUACACACACAUUUCUUGAGUUUUGUUCUUCUCACGUAGCACCCCUCUUUCCUCUCUUGAAUUAGCCCUGAGGUUGCAGCAUGCCAGCAUCUAGUUGAUACCGACAAAGGAUGAUACUUCAGCAAAAGUGGCUGGAAGCGCAACACAAGUAACUUGGAAACAAAAGCCAGUGCUGAAAUUUGGAUUAAACAGUAGGCGAGCCGCGACUCGUUUCUUGCACUUAGCGGCUGGUUGAUUCAGAAAUUGGUUGACUGGAAUAAAACUGAUGGAAGGCAUAUGUUCUUGUGUUCUUUAUACCCUAGACCACAGCAAUGCUGUCACAAAUGAUAACGUGUAUAAAGUGAAUAAUACAGUACCAGUUGAUAGACUUUACAUCACAACAUAGUACAGAUCUCAAUAAUAUACUUGGAGAACCCAUGGUUAUCGGCAUUUGGUAGUGGUUUCUUCAUAUGAUUUAACAUCACUUCACUGACUACUGAGGUAGGCAUCUCUGAUGGCAUGCAUCUCUGCAGCAGCAUCACUUGUUGACAUCCUUUCUCUGGGCAAUUGCUUUGAGCAUAGGACACAAAGCUGGAUGAUGGCAGCCAAACAUUCCUUGGCUCUGCUUAUAUUUUCUGUAUCAGUGCUAUCGUUUGCUUCAUCAUGCAGCCAGAUGUUGGAGUCUGCUAUCUUCAUGACAUUCCCAGAUAGACCUGCUGCCUCUGCAAAGUAUUGCAGGGUUAACCCAUCUCUAAACAUAUCAUCUGUCGGGCACCUUCCAGUAAACAUCUCGAUCAAGGUGAUCCCAAGGCUGUACACAUCACCAUAAGUAGAUACUGGAAGCCCUUCUCCAUAUUCUACAAUGGAUUGAAACAAUUCGGGGUAUAAACAGGGGGAGCAUAUUCAGUUACCUGGAGCAACAUAUCCAAUGGAUCCUCUUAUUCCCAUGGAGCUAAGGGAACUUGCAGAAGCUUCGCUUGCAGCUUCUUUUAGAAUUCUAGCAAUGCCAAAAUCCCCAACACGAGCCCUCAUGUCCUCUGUGAGAAGAAUGUUGCUUGGCUUGAGAUCGCAAUGGAUGAUGGAAGGUUGGCAACCAUUGUGAAGAUAGUCUAUAGCAUCCACGAGGUCAACGGCGAUAUCUAACCUCUGUGACAGGCUGAGUGUUCCCAUUCUGUUUUGGCUUUCAAUAUCUGGGUGGAUCCAGCGGUCUAAGCUGAAAUUGGGCAUGAGCUCGAAGACUAGCGCUCUGAAGUCUUGGCCUUGGUGGUUGAUGCUUGAACAACAUGUGAUGAUCUUUACAAGGCAACGGUGCCUAACUCUUCUUAGUGCCUCACAUUCAUCCAGGAAGCUCUUGUAGGAUCCAGAUUGCUGCAGAUUAAACACCUUCACAGCGGCAGCAAAAUUUUCUAGAGUGCCUUUGUAUACAGUACCAUAUCUUCCCUUCCCAAGCAGAUUGGCUUCUGAAAACCCGUCCGUUGCUUUGAGUAUGUCGUUGUAUGAAACCGUUGGAAGGUCAAUCUUCUGAGGUGACAGUUGUUCUUUCCUCAAUCCUGACUUAAAUUUUCUGUACAGAAAUCCAGCUAAAGCAAGAGCUACAAGUAAGACUAGGAUACCAACUGCUGCAGGGACAGCUAUUCUCAGGGACUUUGGCAAGCCUCUCUUGGAGCUUGGACAUUUUGGCAGUUGAAGCUGUGGUAUUCCACCACAUAACUCAUUGUUUCCAAAAAUUGAUAGUCCAGUUAAAUUCCUGAAAAUCCCUUCUUUUGGUACCUCACCUUGUAAAUUGUUGAACGAUAUGUCGAGGUGGAGCAGAGAUGUUGAAUAACCAAGGAGUUCAGGGAUUGACCCUGACAGAUCAUUAUGUGCAAGAUACAGUUCCUGCAAGCUGGUAAUGUUGCUCAGUUCCCCUGGGAUGCUACCGUUCAGUUUGUUGUUCGUCAAAUUCAGUACAGUAAGCCCUUUGAUGUUCUUCAAAGUGGGAGGGAUGUUUCCUUGGAAUGAAUUGCCAUCCAUCAAGAGGGUUUCCAGGACCACGCAGCCACCAAUGGCUGCAGGUAUUUUACCAGACAACUGGUUCCCUGAUAGGAUAAGCUGUUCGAGAUUUACCAAAUUGCCAAUCUCUGAAGGUAGAGGUCCCUCCAGCAAGUUGUAAGACAAAGCCAAAUAAAUUGAGAUGGAUGAUAGUUGCAUAAUUUCCUUUGGAAUUGAGCCAGAAAGAUGGUUCGUCGAUAUAUCUAGUGCUGAAAGUUUUGUCAAAUUCCCAAUGCUUGAUGGAAUCGGUCCCUCCAAGCUGUUGAAGCUUGCACCAAGCCUAUAAAGACCAGCGAGGUUUCCGAUGGAAGAGGGGAUGAAUCCUGAUAAGUUGUUGGAACUCAGAUGUAGCCUCUUCAAUUGUAUAAGUUUCCCUAUGGUCUCAGGAAUGGCCCCAGUGAGCAAGUUGCCAGCAAGAAUAAGCACCUCAAGACCUAUCAAAUUUCCAAUAUCUGAUGGAAUAGUACCAGAUAUAUUGUUGUUAAAAAUAUCUAGCUCUUGGAUGUUUGUGGACAAGUUAGACAAUGAGGUUGGUAAUUGCCCCGAGAACCUGUUCUGUUCUAUAUUUAUCUGUUGCAACCUGCUACAGUUUGUCAAAGAAGUAAGGAAUUGCCAUUCUUGCUCAUUGUUUGCCUCAAACUUGUUUCCAACCAGAUUAAACCUUCUAAGAUACUGCAAUUUUCCCAAGUCUGAAGGGACAACCCCACUGAAUCCGUUAUUUGCAACAUCAAAAAGCUGGAGUCUGGAGAUAUUAGUCAGUGAUGGAGGCACAACUCCAGUGAAUCGGUUAUUCCCAAAUCCAAACUGCUGUAUGCUAGGAAGGCUUCUUCCCAGAUGAGCUGGUAGACGGCCAUGCAGGUAGUUGUCCGUCACAAAAAACAUGUACAGAGAUGACUGGUUGUACAGCGAAAGAGGAAGCAAACCUGAGAGGUUGUUCAUGGCCAGCUGAAGGAACCCGAGAUGUGCAUUGUUCCCAAUGCUCUCGGGGAUUGAUCCCUCGAGAUGGUUAGCUGCCAGGGACAAGAUGGUCACCUGUGAGAGGUUCCCAAGUGAUGAGGGGAUGGUCCCAGUGAGGCUGUUGUUGUAUAGGUGUACAACACGUAGCGAUUGCAUGUUGCCGAUCUCAGAAGGUAUGCUUCCUUGCAACCCCUUGUUGUCAGCAAUUAUCAUCACCCUGAGGUUGGUGCAGCGGCUAAUGUUGCUUGGGAUCGCACCAGUGAGCAUGUUCCCUUGGAGUCCAAGGUACUUGAGACGGCGGAGGGAGCCGAUGCUGGGAGGAAUCUUGCCGUGCAAGGGAUUGAGGCUCAAGUUGAGCGUGCGGAGGAACGUGAGGUUGCCGAUGGCAGGGGAGAUAGUGCCGGAGAUCCCCUGAGAGUUUAGGUCCAGAGCAACCACCCUCGACCGAUGUCUCCGGCUGCACGUGACGCCCUCCCAGGCACAGUAGCUGAUGCUCCGGUUCCAGGAGGCCAGCACCCCGGAAUGGUCUGAAAUCCUUUCCUUGAAAGCCGUGAGAGCUCCCUCGUUGUCGUCGUGUGCGUGCAUGACCCCCAUGGUGGAGAGUAGGAGAAGCACAAGACAUCUGAUUCCGAAGAGGCGCCGUGGCAGCGGUGUACCCCUCCGCCACAUGGUUUGCUGCAUCGGGCUGGUUAUUUGGGUGGUUCUUUUCUCUCUCUCCUCGGUAUGGAUCAUUGGAGCUACAAGCUCUUUCUUUCUGAUACAGAAUUUGGAUGAUGCCGGCGAGCCUUUUGCCGGAUUAAAUUAGUACCGGUACCAUUAUUCAUGUUAGUGACCUAGGACUGAAUUUGACCACUUCUGCACCUGUGCCGAAACUGACUUGCUCUCCCUGAUUAAAAUACAGAAUUUGGAUGAUGCCGGCGAGCCUUUUGCCGGAUUAAAUUAGUACCGGUACCAUUGCCGAAACUGACUUGCUCUCCCUGAUUAAAUGCUCCUGAGCUGCACCUGCCCCCCAUGAUGUAGUCCAGGAGGCCCCAGUGAUUUAUCAAGGCGCGGUGCAAUGAAUGAAACAAUCGGGUCCAUCUGUUUGAUGGAAACCAAUUAGCAUUAGUUCUUCUAUGUUUUUAUUACUCCCUUCGAUCCAUAUUAAUUGACUUUGGGAUGCAAAGCAGGUCCCGUUUAAACCCACUUAUGGUCUUAACAGUUCAAUAAUUUGUUUUUUUUCCAGGGAGAAUGAACUAUCAAGCUAGAUAAAGCUAACUAAACGGGACUUGUGGACGCUGUUUAUUUGCCAUUUACAUCCCGCUGUGCAAGCUUCCCUAUGCUCUCAUGAAUUAUCCCAUUGAGCAAGUUGCGACCAAGAACAAGCACCUCCAGGCCUAUCAAGUUUCCGAUAUCCGAUGGGAUAGUGCCAGAUAUAUUGUUGGCAAAAAUAUUUAGCUCUUGUAUGUUUCUGGACAAGUUAGACAAUGAGGUUGGCAAUUGCCCCGAAAAACCUGUUCUGUUCUAUUGACAUCAGUUGCAACCUGCUACAGUUUGUCAAAGAAGGAAUUGCCAUUCUUGUUCAUUGUUUUGCCUGAUGGGAACAAUCAAAACUGCCUGAUGAGAACCAAUGAUAAGUUUUUCUAUUCCUUAUGUAGGAAGAAAACAGAAGUUCAGGGUGAAGAAGGAAAGAACAGGUGGCUGUUUUGUGGCGUGUGUUGGAUCUUUUUAAGGAAAAGGAAAAGGAAAAGGAAAGAACAGGUGGCUGUUUUUGUGACUGAGCCAACAAAAACAACUUUUGAAGAUUAGCAGCACAGGCAGUUCCAGCACAACACUGAGACCAACUUCAGCAAAUGAAGAAGGUCAAGGAAAAGGGAAGUUGGGUGAUUAUUCCCUGAACCUGCAGCAAGAAGCUGAGCCCACAAGGUGGGACACUGGGACAGUGCUUCAACAGAGAGCGCUGGAAAUGCAACAAAAGUAGCUUAGCCAACAAAGUGGACUGGAAAUUCGACAGAAUUAACUUUGAAGAAGUGAGCCAGCAAAGAGAAGAAGCGCAUGUUUUUUUUAUGUUAUAUCAUAUAGCAACUUUUUUUUUACUUCAUUAUCAUGUACGGAACUCAAUUUUGUUCUUAUUUAUUAGCUGGCAGUGUGCUGGCCACUUUUCCAAUGUUUUUUUUUCUGUUGGGUUAAUAACCGUGGAGCUUUUCCCCUGGACCAGUUUAAUUGUAUUUCGGAAAAUGCUGCAUGGGUAUACACUUUUUGAUGUAAAAAAUAGAGAAUGCAAGUAUACUGGAAAAACAA